GACGAACGCUGGCGGCGUGCUUAACACAUGCCAGUCGAACGGAAAGGCCCUGCUUGCAGGGUACUCGAGUGGCGAACGGGUGAGUAACACGUGGGUGAUCUGCCCUGCACUUCGGGAUAAGCCUGGGAAACUGGGUCUAAUACCGGACAGGAGCCAUUUUUAGUGUGAUGGUUGGAAAGUUUUUUCGGUGUAGGAUGAGCUCGCGGCCUAUCAGCUUGUUGGUGGGGUAAUGGCCUACCAAGGCGGCGACGGGUAGCCGGCCUGAGAGGGUGGACGGCCACAUUGGGACUGAGAUACGGCCCAGACUCCUACGGGAGGCAGCAGUGGGGAAUAUUGCACAAUGGGCGCAAGCCUGAUGCAGCGACGCCGCGUGGGGGAUGACGGCCUUCGGGUUGUAAACUCCUUUCGCUAGGGACGAAGCUUUUUGUGACGGUACCUAGAUAAGAAGCACCGGCUAACUACGUG
RNAcentral lists this ribosomal RNA (465 nucleotides) under uncultured bacterium. RNAcentral's name for it is "partial 16S ribosomal RNA". It matches the Rfam family "Bacterial small subunit ribosomal RNA", at positions 28 to 507 of the family's 1533-position model. The record is from RNAcentral.